UGCCGCUCAUCAGGUUUGCAUGGUCGCCCCCAAAGCUGGUCUUUCCGGUCAGUUCCAGGGUCAACACUUUGUGUUCACGCAGCCUUCUUCAGGAGUGAAAAUAAUCCCUGCGGAAUGUUUAAGCGUUGCGGCGAGCUCCCGGCGAGCCGUGAUUAAAAGUGCAUUACCUGAUCCCAGCCGUUCCCUCAACGAGCGCCGCUAAACGCCUCCUCGUCUACCUGCUGAUUAAUUGAACGCGCGCGGCCACAUUUCAGCGCACUUUGUUUCCCCGUCCGCGCUCAUCCGCCGUUUAUUCCAGACACGUUUCCCGCGUCUCUCUAGGAGUCCAAUUAAGGAUUUACAUUGUGACAGAAUUUUUCACUUUAAUUACCAUACGUCCGGAGCGCUUUUGACGGAUUUUCUUAUUCAUCAAACGACACACGGGAGUUGAAUUCAUCAAGCAAAUGGAUGCUCGGCUUGUGUAAUUGCCGAGGCUUUUGUCUCCGGAAAACAUUCCGAUGACGGCUUGUCUCGAGCGGAGAAGUGACGGAACACUUGCUUUCCUUUCCCAGGAUUCCUCGGUCAUCGGUGACAAGCAGAGACAUGCGGUACUUUGUGCUGAAGGGGGGGCCUACGGUGCUCAAUGCCGCCGCUUUAUGUCCACUUGUCCACUUGACCAGCGACACCUUCCUGAUUCUGCACCUCCUUCUGCAGCGUUCCCGUGGACUUCCGACCUAAAGUGCCACUUUACUUUACGCCCAUGCCGCUACCAAGUGCUCCCGAGGACUUCCGGACAGCCGAUGGCGCCAUCCUCGAUGAACUCGUUUCCUGGAGCGACAUCAGCGGAAUUCAACCUCUCAUCCUAAAGCCGGGUAUAAGACGACAAUGGGCAAUCAAGUGCAGAGAAGACAGAGACGGACGCCCGCCUGGCGUUCUCAGCAGUGAUGAUGUCACAGAUGACUGACGUGAAUGACCACCUUUACAGGAAGUAUGAAAGUAUUUCAGUUGAAACGCACUAGAAAAAGGCAGCUAUUCCUGAUAUGGGUAUAUGUGGUAUAUGGGCACGCCCCCAUACGCUUGGUUGUGACCUAGGCUGGACCAAGUUUGUCCUUUUGAGAUAAUAGUAUUCCAAUGGAAUCAGCUGUUUACAUUGUAAAGAUGGCGUGUCCCGCCGCCAGGUCCCGUCAGUGACAGCGGUUAGAGUCCGGCUUCUUGUGGUCCAGGACCAGCAGCUUCAGCAGAAAAUCGGUGAGUAAUCGACACGCCUCUUUUGAAGACCCAUGUUGACCUUGUCCUGUGAUUUCUGUUCAACAUUUACAAUAACAGUGACUGUUAGAAUACUUUCAUCAAAUUCCGCUCCCCUUUAGUCUUCAACGGCCAUUGUGGACUCGCCACACCAUCCGAGUGGAAUCAUCUGCUGCAACCUGUUUAGAAUCCCUCAACGUUGUGGUCCUUGCAGGCCGGCAUGGCAUGCAGAUCCAGGCUGGCUAAUCAUCUCAUUCCAGAGCGGAAUGGAAUAAAUCAGGAAAAAAGGGUGAUGGCCGCCUGCUAGCGAGGUAGCCGGAAGCCAGCUGCGGCGUUCCCGCCUAAUGCCCAAUUUUCCCGUGGCACCUCCUUGGCGUGAGGCAGCAAAUAUCCUCUGGGCCUCUUCAUUAGGCCACCAGGCCCGCGCGCCCCCUCGUUGUCUCUCCGAGGGGGAAGCACGCGGGAGAAGCGGCGAGGCCGUCACAGGCGACGCGUUUAUGUACCCCGGAAAUCCAACACCUGCCAGCGUGGGACGUCGUCAUGCUCCGCUGCAUCAUCUUGUUGGACCACUUGCUGCUGCAGUUGACGUUGAAGUGGAGAUGGCGAUAAAGACCAGCGACCCCCGGGGGGCUGGUCCAUGCGAGGGAGUCUUCAGGUGGCAUCGCUUGAUGCCUGAUGGAUCUUUGAUCCGUAGCUCGGUACGUGAAAGUCCACAA
Molecule: non-coding RNA, 1940 nt
Organism: Doryrhamphus excisus (bluestripe pipefish)
Lineage: Eukaryota; Metazoa; Chordata; Actinopteri; Syngnathiformes; Syngnathidae
Source: RefSeq, a predicted model, not a curated record